Molecule: long non-coding RNA, 860 nt
Filed under: Homo sapiens (human)
Lineage: Eukaryota; Metazoa; Chordata; Mammalia; Primates; Hominidae
Description: HSALNT0004123
Source: RNAcentral
UGAUGAUAGUGAUGAUAAUGAGAUUGAUGAUGAUGAUGAUGAUGAUGAUGAUGGAAAUCUCUGCUCCCAAAGUCUUACCUCCUGCCAGAUUCCACAGUUGAUAUGGACACAGAGCUGGGCAGGACCACAGGGAUUAUCUGUUUAACCCCUUCAUUUUAAAGCUGGGGAUACAGCCUUGGAGAGGUACAGAGGUAUGUCCAAGGUCACACAUCCGAGUUGGGGCAGAGUCAGGGUCCUGCCCUAGCCCCGUCCUGGUCUCUGCCCCACUUGGGCUGCCAGGCCUCCUCUUGCUGCCACAGAUUCUUCUCUUUCCUCCCAGUCCACUGCAGCAGGACCUGGUUCUUGGCUUCUCACCUGUCCCAGCAGACUUUAACUAUGAAUGUUCAUCACUGGGUUUUAAUUAUCCUGCAAGUUCUGCAAGCACUUUCCAGGAGACAUUUUUCUCUAUUAUUUUCCUCCAGAUGAAUGAGUUUGGACUCAUCUGUCUCUGAUAACCAGGAAUAGCCACCUCCUGACAGCACCAACACCUGCUUGCUUCUCAGGGGCUCCUGACCCAUUGUUUCCAGAAACAAAGAUCUCCCCUGGGUGCAUCCCCCUGUACAGGAUGGGGAAACCGAGGCCCAAAGCAGAGGGACCAGCUCGAGGUCACACAGCAGGUCAGCAGCUGAGGCAGAGCCUGAAUGGUCUCUGGACUCCUCGCCCAUGGUGUCACUACGGCACCACUGCAUCUGCCCAGCCUCAAGGAGCCUGUGACACUAUUUCCCAGUGAAGCCAUAAGGUCAAGUUCACCCGUUUCUCACCCAUUCUCCCCUUGAGGGUGGAGACAUCUCAGCAUUUCAGUAUGGCUCCUCAGUGUCCUU